GUAGGUGGCAAGCGUUGUCCGGAAUUAUUGGGGCGUAAAGCGCGCGCAGGCGGUUCUUUAAGUCUGAUGUGAAAGCCCCACGGGCUCAACCGGUGGAGGGUCAUUGGAAACUGGAGAACUUGAGUACAGAAGAGGAAAGCGGAAUUCCACGUGUAGCGGUGAAAUGCGUAGAGAUGUGGAGGAACACCAGUGGCGAAGGCGGCUUUCUGGUCUGUAACUGACGCUGAGGCGCGAAAGCGUGGGGAGCAAACAGGAUUAGAUACCCUGGUAGUCCACGCCGUAAACGAUGAGUGCUAAGUGUUAGGGGGUUUCCGCCCCUUAGUGCUGCAGCUAACGCAUUAAGCACUCCGCCUGGGGAGUACGGCCGCAAAGGCUGA
RNAcentral lists this ribosomal RNA (377 nucleotides) under uncultured organism. RNAcentral's name for it is "partial 16S ribosomal RNA". It matches the Rfam family "Bacterial small subunit ribosomal RNA", at positions 527 to 897 of the family's 1533-position model. The record is from RNAcentral.